UCCUGUGUGGCUCAGUUGGUAGAGUAUGGUGUUUGCAUUGCCAAGUUGUGUGUUCGAUUCCCACGGGGG
This 69-nucleotide transfer RNA is filed under the name Salmo salar (Atlantic salmon). It matches the Rfam family "tRNA". Rfam says of the family: Transfer RNA (tRNA) molecules are approximately 80 nucleotides in length. Their secondary structure includes four short double-helical elements and three loops (D, anti-codon, and T loops). Lineage: Eukaryota; Metazoa; Chordata; Actinopteri; Salmoniformes; Salmonidae. The record is from Rfam by way of RNAcentral.